CGUAAAGCGCAUGCAGGUGGUUUGUUAAGUUCAGAUGUGAAAGACCCGGGGCGUCAACCUCGGAAUUGCAUUUGAAACUAGGCAAACUAGAGUACUGUAGAGGGGGGUAGGAAGUUUACUAGGUGUAGCGGUGAAAUAGCGUAGAGAUCUGAAGGAAUACCGGUGGCGAAGGCGGCCCCCUCGGACAGAUACUGACACUCAGAUGCGAAAGCGUGGGGAGCAAACAGGAUUAGAUACCCUGGUAG
Molecule: ribosomal RNA, 245 nt
Filed under: uncultured bacterium
Lineage: Bacteria
Description: partial 16S ribosomal RNA
Rfam family: Bacterial small subunit ribosomal RNA
Source: RNAcentral